This 505-nucleotide ribosomal RNA is filed under the name uncultured bacterium. RNAcentral's name for it is "partial 16S ribosomal RNA". It matches the Rfam family "Bacterial small subunit ribosomal RNA", at positions 355 to 866 of the family's 1533-position model. The record is from RNAcentral.
UGGGGAAUAUUGCACAAUGGGCGGAAGCCUGAUGCAGCAACGCCGCGUGCGGGAUGACGGCCUUCGGGUUGUAAACCGCUUUCGCCUGUGACGAAGCGUGAGUGACGGUAAUGGGUAAAGAAGCACCGGCUAACUACGUGCCAGCAGCCGCGGUGAUACGUAGGGUGCGAGCGUUGUCCGGAUUUAUUGGGCGUAAAGGGCUCGUAGGUGGUUGAUCGCGUCGGAAGUGUAAUCUUGGGGCUUAACCCUGAGCGUGCUUUCGAUACGGGUUGACUUGAGGAAGGUAGGGGAGAAUGGAAUUCCUGGUGGAGCGGUGGAAUGCGCAGAUAUCAGGAGGAACACCAGUGGCGAAGGCGGUUCUCUGGGCCUUUCCUGACGCUGAGGAGCGAAAGCGUGGGGAGCGAACAGGCUUAGAUACCCUGGGUAGUCCACGCUGUAAACGGUGGGUACUAGGGUGUGGGGGUCCAUUUCCACGGGUUCCGUGCCGUAGCUAACGCUUUAAGUA